RNAcentral lists this long non-coding RNA (510 nucleotides) under Populus trichocarpa (black cottonwood). RNAcentral describes it as "long non-coding RNA (PTRI_LNC002857)". Lineage: Eukaryota; Viridiplantae; Streptophyta; Magnoliopsida; Malpighiales; Salicaceae. The record is from RNAcentral.
UACAUGACAAAAGAAAAAAGGUAAAGAUAAAAAAAAAAAAAAUAUGGAGCUUAUGCUGAACUUGGUGUGAAGAAAAGGCAAAUUGACAAAGAAACAAACAGUGUGUGCUGGGUAGGCAGCAAUAGGCAUGGCUUCCAACUUGUAGUAAUUAAUGAGACAUGAGAGAAAGAAGAGAACAUUGUUGGUACUUAGGAAAGAUGAUGAAAACCAAAUAAAUACGCUCAUUCGUCUGCCUCAACCUGCUUCAACUGCUGGUGAUGCUGAUGCUGCACGUCCCUAUUACUUGUCGUGCAAGUCCUCAGUUCACUCCCACCUCUACAGCCUCAGCAUCCACGGACCAUGUCCCCCUAUAAACUCCCUAGCUAGCUAGCUAGCUAGCUACUUUGACAAUAAUUAAUAUAGGAGCAACAUUAUAAUACCAUUUUCUUGUGUGGUUGCAAAAAACUUUCUAAGGGAAAUGAAAUCUUCCAAAUAUACUGGGAUUUUGACCAAUCAAUAUAUUGGCAAUGG